AGAGUGAAUAGUCUUCCUUUUAAUAUGCUGCCUGAACUCUGGGCGUGCUUUUCAGCACUGCAGGCUUUCCCACAUUUUCUCUAGCUGCCUAGAAGCUACAAAUGAGGGCACUACUAAAACUCCUGUCCAGACACCUUGGGUAGAGAUACAGACCCCUCAUGGUAGACCAGCUGGCUUGACCAGUUCUCUUCGCUGUGCCUUAAGCCAGUUUCUGCUGUGUGUCCUCAUCAAGCCCCAGGACAGCAGCUCAACUGCCACCCCUUUCUGGAGUUUGCUCUUGCUAUUCAGAAACCCUCUUUGCUUACUUACUCUAUGCUCUCACCCAUGAACUUGUUGUAAACACCUUUCUACAAAUGCAUCUUUCCUACUGCCUGUGAAAGUCAUUCUUUGGGUUUAUGAGUCAAAAGACCCGGGAGCCACUAGCCUGGGAUGGCUUUAGUGGCUGUUGAAAC
This is a non-coding RNA of Peromyscus maniculatus bairdii (prairie deer mouse), 452 nucleotides long. Lineage: Eukaryota; Metazoa; Chordata; Mammalia; Rodentia; Cricetidae. The record is from RefSeq and is a predicted model, not a curated record.